AAAUAAUCCCCACGAAUUAUACACGAUGUCGGUUCGCACAUGGUUUUUACUCUGCGAGUGAAAACGAGACUGCAGUGGCAGUGGAGUCCCUAUAAAUAGUGGCAAGAGUGAAUGGCGCCGGGAUUCGGAAUUCAGAAUGGCAAAAGAUGAUGCAGGGAAGUUGACAAGAGAAGAUUUUGACGCCGGACCAAGAAGCUGGGAUGAAAUAGAGCCAGGAGUCAUAUUGGGAAAUCUUACAGCAGCGACGGAUGUCGACUGGUUGAGAGAGGCGAAAAUAACUCACAUCUUGACAUUGGACUCGUGUCCGCUGCCUAGAAAAAUACAACUUCUACCUGACAUAACAUUCAAAUAUAUUCAAGUGACUGAUUUACCCAGAGAAGACUUGCUAACAUAUUUCGAAGAGACUUACCAAUUUAUUAAACAUGCUCAAGACGACGGUCACAAGACUUUGGUACAUUGUUACUUCGGGGUCUCCCGGUCCGCUGCAGUGGUUAUAGCUUUUAUUAUGAAAAAAUAUAACAUGAGUUUUACCGAGGCUUUUGACCUCGUCAAAUCAAAGAGAAGAUUCGUAGGACCUAAUCCUGGAUUCGUGGCUCAAUUGAAGUUGUACCAGGACAUGGGAUUCAGCAUAGACAAUACAAAUGUACAGUUCAAAAUGUAUCGCCUUCAAUUAGCGGCUGAUAAAGUGAGAAAGGCAAAGAUAUUACCACAGACUUGUAUAGACUUGAUAAAGCCAGACCCGGCUUUAGUUACAAUACGACCUGAGCCGACGGUGUAUCGGUGCAAGCGUUGCCGAAGAAUCGUAGCUUCUGCCAGCAAUAUAUUACCUCACACACCGAGAGAAAAACAAAUUUGGCGUCAUGUAAGCUCGAAACGUUAUGAUAAGGGUUUGAAAGUGGCAAAGACUUCGAAAAAACCUGUGGAAGAAGAUGAGAACAAUGAGCUGUGUGACUCUGAAUUUUGUUCGAAAACUUAUUUUAUAGAACCAUUGGCCUGGAUGCCUGAUAUAGUACACAAUGUUGAAGGUAAAUUGAACUGUCCAAAAUGUGCUACCAAGCUUGGAUCUUUCAGCUGGAUCGCGGGAUCCCAAUGUCCAUGUGGUAGCAAGAUAGCUCCAGCCUUUUAUCUGGUUCCCUCUAAAGUUGACUGGAGUAACGUCGUUCAAAAUGUACAAGUGACUGUUUAGAAAUUAAUCAACAUCCAAGCAGCUUCGAUAAAUGGAUAUGCUGCUUUACAUGUUGAAUGUAUAAUUGAAUUCUCAAUACCCUUAGAACCGCUAGAUAAUUCGGAUUCAAAUGUUUAUGAGCCACGUUGGAACAGUGUGUGAAAAUAAGUUUAUGCAGACCUAUACGACGUAAGGCAAGAAGGUAUCAUGCUGGUUGUGGCGGUGUCUUUCUCUGUACAUCGUCAAGCCGAGUUUUUCAAGUUAUACUUCCACUUAUUGACUGACAAAAUGAUGGAAGGGCAUGGCCUUGAUCGUGAAAAUAAAAUAUGGCACUCAUUCCCUUCGGGCUCUAAGCAAAUGAUAUUAUAUAUAUUAAAAUGGUGUGCCAAUUAUAAGUAUAAUAU
Molecule: unclassified non-coding RNA, 1569 nt
Filed under: Neodiprion lecontei (redheaded pine sawfly)
Lineage: Eukaryota; Metazoa; Arthropoda; Insecta; Hymenoptera; Diprionidae
Description: dual specificity protein phosphatase MPK-4, transcript variant X1
Source: RNAcentral